RNAcentral lists this non-coding RNA (580 nucleotides) under Pongo abelii (Sumatran orangutan). The record is from RNAcentral. Lineage: Eukaryota; Metazoa; Chordata; Mammalia; Primates; Hominidae.
GGAUGCAACGCGACCGUCUUCCCACAGCAACGAAAGACUGCGACUCUCCGGACUAUCAGGCCGGGAGAGUCCACUUCCAGCUCACCUCGGAGCUCCGGGAGCCCUUCAGCACCUGCUUGGUGAGCGCGAUUACGUCAGUACCACAGGUGGUCACCUUCUCCGUGAGAAGCCCCUUCACGGACUGACCGAACCGCGCUUGAGAAUCUGCCGUUCCAGUCGCCAUCAUUUCAGUUAGCGAACGCUUCCGCACGGGCGAUGAUGGAGUCUUGCUCUGUCGCCCAGGCUGGAGUGCAGUGGUGCAAUCUCGGCUCACUAUAAGCUCCGCCUCCCAGGUUCACACCAUUCUCCUGCCUCAGUCUCCGGAGUAGCUGGGACUACAAGUGCCUGCCACCAUGCCCUGGCUAAUUUUUUGUAUUUUUAGUAGAGACGGAGUUUCACCAUGUUAGCCAGGAUGUUCUCGAUCUCCUGACCUUGUGAUCUGCUGGCCUUGGCCUCCCAAAGUGCUGGGAUUAUAGGCGUGAGCCACCAUGCCCAGCCAGGAAUUCUCUCAGUUAUGAAAUCUUGCAGAGAAGUUAUUUUU